This 433-nucleotide ribosomal RNA is filed under the name uncultured bacterium. Its description in RNAcentral is "partial 16S ribosomal RNA". It matches the Rfam family "Bacterial small subunit ribosomal RNA", at positions 29 to 507 of the family's 1533-position model. The record is from RNAcentral.
AACGAACGCUGGCGGCAUGCCUAACACAUGCAAGUCGAACGAAGUCUUCGGACUUAGUGGCGCACGGGUGCGUAACGCGUGGGAAUUUGCCCUUGGGUACGGAAUAACUCAGAGAAAUUUGUGCUAAUACCGUAUAAUGUCUUCGGACCAAAGAUUUAUCGCCCAAGGAUGAGCCCGCGUAAGAUUAGCUAGUUGGUGGGGUAAAAGCCUACCAAGGCGACGAUCUUUAGCUGGUCUGAGAGGAUGAUCAGCCACACUGGGACUGAGACACGGCCCAGACUCCUACGGGAGGCAGCAGUGGGGAAUAUUGGACAAUGGGCGAAAGCCUGAUCCAGCAAUGCCGCGUGAGUGAUGAAGGCCCUAGGGUUGUAAAGCUCUUUUACCAGGGAUGAUAAUGACAGUACCUGGAGAAUAAGCUCCGGCUAACUCCGUG